Molecule: long non-coding RNA, 361 nt
Filed under: Homo sapiens (human)
Lineage: Eukaryota; Metazoa; Chordata; Mammalia; Primates; Hominidae
Description: LHRI_LNC1717.1
Source: RNAcentral
CCGCUUUCCGGGAGGCUGGAGUCGAAGGCCGUGAGUUGGAUCCACUUGAACAAGCAAAAGUGGAUUUGGUUUCUGCAUACACAUUAAAUUCAAUGUUUUGGGUUUAUUUGGCAACCCAAGGAGUUAAUCCUAAGGAACAUCCAGUAAAACAGGAAUUGGAAAGAAUCAGAGUAUAUAUGAACAGAGUCAAGGAAAUAACAGACAAGAAAAAGGCUGGCAAGCUGGACAGAGGUGCAGCUUCAAGAUUUGUAAAAAAUGCCCUCUGGGAACCAAAACCGAAAAAUGCAUCAAAAGUUGCCAAUAAAGGAAAAAGUAAAAGUUAACUUUUUGGUUUUGGUGUACACAUAUUCAAAAAGUACAU